RNAcentral lists this long non-coding RNA (6114 nucleotides) under Solanum tuberosum (potato). Its description in RNAcentral is "long non-coding RNA (STUB_LNC004155)". Lineage: Eukaryota; Viridiplantae; Streptophyta; Magnoliopsida; Solanales; Solanaceae. The record is from RNAcentral.
UAGCACCAGUGAGGAAGACAACAGGCCUGAGGCUCCUUUUCACUUAUCGACGUCUCCUGAAUAUUACUAUUUUGAUCAUCCGUUCAGGGCUGCUGCUCAUCACAGGGAGAUAUAUUCUUCUCUUUUGAGUAAUGCUCAAAAGAUGGUCCCUAUUGGACCAGAUUUCCAGGCAGAGCUACCAGAAUGGACACCAUAUAGUAAUAAGGAUAAACCGUGCAUAGAGGGUAUACAUGAAACUCUGAGUCCUCCAUCUCAAGCCGAUGAAAAUAAACUUACUGGAAGGACUAUUAUUCCAAUGCCUAAAUUGGAGCUACUUGCAGAUCAGGUUGAGAAUAUUGGAGAGAGAAGAGUUGAAUGUUCCUGUAAAGAUAUAGGUUCCAUUAGAUGUGUUCAGCUAGACAUCAUCAAAGCAAGGGAAAAACUAAAGCUAGCCCUUGGCGAGGAGAAAUUUGUUAGGUUGGGUUUUUGUGACACAGGAGAGGUAGUGGCAGAAAAAUGGAGUGAAGAGGAAGAGGAACUAUUUCAUGAGGUUGUAUUGUCCAAUCUUGCAUCGCUAGGCAAUAAUUUCUGGAACCAUCUUGCAAUUGAGUUUCCUUCACGGAGGAGGGAAGAACUUGUCAGCUAUUAUUUUAAUGUCUUUAUUGUGCGAAAACGUGCUGAGCAGAACAGAUUUGAUCCACUGAACAUAGACAGUGAUAAUGAUGAGUGGCAUGACGCAGUUGAUGAUGCUGAUGAGGUAGCUAAAAUGACGGAUGAAGAUGAGGAUUCCGUGGUUGAAUCUCCAGCAUAUCAUAAUGGUUUCAGCUGCAAUAUGAUCCAUGAGGAGCAUGAUAGACGAACAUAUGAUGAGGAUGUGGGUGAAGCAAUAUGGGAAGAUUAUAAGCCUGUAAUUUUUGGUAGCCGGAAGGUCUUCACGGAUGUGCAUGAAUCAUGUCCUGGUAAGUUUGAUAAUAACAGCAUUUAUAAACUUGGUACGCAGCCUCAAGACCAAGGACUAUCAGAUAAAGUGAUUGAGCAAGAAGUGCAAGGUGGCUCCUGUACCACUGGUGCAGCUGGGGUUAAUUCAGAAUCAUCACUAAGGAAGACCAACAAUGAUAAACAUUGGGCAAGCGAUAUUGCUGGUAUGGGCAGUUGCACCAAGCAUGAUAGUCUGUUGGAGUCAUGUAAUGGCAAAGAAUGGGAUGGUGGGUACUUGAGCUGUGCCAGAAAUGAAGUUGAUUUGGUACCAACCCACACUAUGAUUGAAGAAGUCUUUGGUGACGGAGCUUGGAUAUACAAGAGCCGAGAUGGUUAGGGGUUAAGCUAUAGUCUAACUCUAGUUUCUCUUUCAACAAAAAGAAAAAAAAUGGUGUUCGAUUCUUUUAUUCAGGGAUUUAGCUAAGUUUUGACACAUUCACAUUCAUGCUGUAGAUGCUGGGCUAUGUGAUGGAAUCAAUCUGGUAAUGUUCCAGUUUUCCUUGUAUAUUCAUAAUGGUGGAAGUAUUUUUUUUAUUUUUUUUAAACCCCAAAUGUAAGAAAUGGCAUUACAAAGGUGUUACAUGAGCUGAUGGAUGCUAUACUUUUGGAGCUGUACAGUAGCCAUUAUUUUGUUGACUUAAAACCAGAUUCCUAGGUAGCUUUCGACUGACAGACAGUAGGUUCUUAGAAUAAUAUUUGUAAUGUUAAGCUAUAUGGUCAAUUGAGCCAUAUUUCAAAAAAGGAGGAUGUAGAUCCUUUUAAAUUAUUGAAGUUUAGUUCUGCACAGAAUAUUCCUUGCACACCAUCCUCUUUCUAUACUUUUUUGUUCUCACUUCUUUGUGAGGACGUUGAUUUGCCGACUACCUGCUAUCUUUUACUGUACUACAUAUGUAUUGUAUACUGAAUAUUGCCUUCUAUUCAAUGACUAGACAAAAAGUGAGGAGAAGAAAAUCGUAUAGGUGAAGUUUCGAUUAUCAGAGAUUCUUUUUAUUCUGUUAUAUGCCUUUUAAAUGUCACAUUUGUGUCCGUCUCAAUUUUAAUAGUAAAAAGUAGUCUUUUCAUUCAUUUUUACUUGUGCAGUGUUGCCUUGACACACUUCUUAAUAGGGGUAUGCAUAGAUUUCAAUUUUAUAUAUUAUCGGUUUUGAUUUUUCAAUAUGCUAAAUUAAUGACCAAACCAAUAACAAGUCUUUUAUCAGUUUUGAUUUCUUGAUUUUUGGUUCUUAACUGUUUGAUUUUUUAUUUAUCAAUAAGAAAAUGCUGAUAAAAUUAAUUUAUGACUUCUCCAAUAAUUUGACACAACAAGACAAUAAUAUAACUUGGGAAAAGGGUCAAAAAUACCCCUCAACUUUGGUUUAUUGUUUGACUUUAUCCUUGUCGUUAAAAUGAAGUUAAUUUUACCCCUCCCGUUACUAAUUUCACCAUAUUUACCCCUCAUUUGACGGAAUGCCCAAAAUUAACCCAAAUUACCUGAAUUUAAAAAAAAAAAAAACCAUUCCCUAUUUUUAACCCAAUGCCCUGACCCCUCUAGAGGAUAACCCGGUUAACCUGCAUAACCCCUCAGCUUCCUCCUCAAUGCAGCCAUGGGUGCAACCAGAGAAUGCCAACAUAUAUCCAUCUCAUAUCUUAGAUGCAAUGCUACAAAUGGCUCUCUCCCCUAAAGCAUUCGUACCAAUUUUUCUCCCAAAGCCUCAAUAUCUGGAGUGAAUUUCAAUGCCUGAAAAUUCACACGAUAUCUGAAUUUUUGAAGCUCAAGAGGAAUCCCAUUGUUUGCUAGCCUAGUAUCUGUUCUGUUGAAAUGUAUUACUUGAUGCUUGCUGAAGAGAGGCAUAAUCUGCAUUAGUAAUCCGAAUGUGUUAAUACAUAUCGGUAAAAAGGCAAAUAAAUGAGUUAGAUAUUUGGAGACAAAUCCUAACUCGUAAUCAACAACUAAAUGUUAUAGAAAGACAAUAAGAUUUGUUCAAUUCGAUAUCUUAACAACCAUAAGUACAAAUUCUGAUGGAGAAAAGGGGUUAUCUUUUCUUCAACUCAUCGUUCUUCGACUUAGCUUCUAAUGGAGAAAAAGAAAUUAUCUUUUCAAAGAGAGAUUGGGUAAAUGGGAAUGGGUAACAGCCUAACAGGGCAUUGGGUUAUACGGGUCCUCUAAAGGGAUCGAGGCAUUGGGUUAAAAAUAGAGAAUGGUUUUUUUUUAAAAAACGGGUAAUUUGGGUCAAUUUUGGACUUUCCGUCAAAUGAGGGGUAAAUAUGGUAAAAUUAGUAACGGGAGGGGUAAAAUUAACUUCAUUUUAACGGCAAGGAUAAAGUCAAACAGUAAACCAAAGUUGAGGGGUAUUUUGAUCCUUUUCUCAUAUAACUUUACAUAAUGCUCAUAAAAUAAAACAUAAGUAACUAACCUGAAAUGAAAUAUACAAGUGCAACACAAAUAAAAGAACUAGGACAAUAAUAUAAAUGUAAGGUUUAAGGGCAAAUGAAAUAAACACAAAUAAAAGAACUAGGACAAUAACGCAAAUGAAAGGUUAAAGGAUAAAUGUAAUGACCAGUAAUGUACUGAUAUUAAUAUUUGAUAUUUUUAAAAAGGGUAAAGGAAUAAAUUACUACACUAAAUGGGUUAUCAGUUUUACACUUUAUCCAAUAUUAAGAAAAUUAAAAACCAAACUGUUAAUCUGAUAAUUUUUUUGUAAAAUCAUUAAAGAUUCGUCAACACAAUAACAUUUUUUUCUUUUGUUUGAUUAUUAAUCGGUUCAAUUUUUGCACAUCCUUACCUCUUAAGGGGCAAUAAAUUAGAAACUAAAUUAUAAUAAAUUAAUUAUUAAUUUUCUAAACUGAAACGUGAUAAAAUUUUACACGAGUAAGGAUAAGUAAUCAUCUUUCAUCAUAUCCUUUUCCAAUAAAAUAACCAUAAUUUUUUUUUUAUUCGAGCACGUGAUAUUCAAUAUAUAUCACCACGUGAAUGACUAUAUAAUUUCUAAACCAAUUAGGCUAACAAAUUACAUUUGGCGCAGCUUUUUUUUGGACUUCCCCGCGUUACUAAUUUCGGACCCGCCCGAUAACAGAAUUCCGCAACCCACUAGGGCUCUACCUUCACCUUUUUAUCUUCAACGACUUUCCCCCCAAUUAUAUUCCAUCUUCUUCUUCCCCACAAAUUGACCUCGAUUUCUCAUCUGAAACUUCAAAUCAAUCUCCGAUUUUUCUAAUUCGUUCCCUCCUCUUUCUUUUGAUACCUCUUUCGGCUAUAUCCGUUAGGUAAAUCCAAUUUCGAUUUUAGGGUUUAGAUCUCUUCUGUAUCUUCUAGAUCUGUUCGAUUCAUCGCGUUUUUUUGUGAAAUUCACCGGUUGUUUUAUCUUUAUGUUGUUUUUGUUUCCUUGGUUUCUCUGUUUUUUGUAAAAGAAAACUGGGUUGAUCUUUCGAUAUAAUUAGUUUGUAAAUUUGGGGUUUCUUGUUUAAUUCGUUUUCUUUCGCCUUCAAUUUGAUUUCUUUGAACCAAUUUUGAGUUGAAUUUGAUUAUUCUAUUUUUGAUUGAAGAGUUGAAUCUGAUUUGGGGAUCUAGGGUUAGGGUUUUCAAUAAAAUUUGCAAUUUAUAUUUUUUACCCCUCAAUUUUCCAAAAAGAUAAAAUUCUUUUUCCCGAAUUUGUAUCCCCGUCCUCGAAUUGUUCAAAUUGAAUUAUUCGCUACCCCAAUUUUGACGAAGACAGAUAACAGAGUCCCGUUCAAGGUUCCCUAAUUUGUCAAUUUUGUUGUUACAUGUAAUUAGUCAAACUUAUGGGUCUCUUUUUCAGUUUUUUUUUUCUUUAGGGCCACACUACUAUAAUAAUAAAACUAAUUUCAGUGGCAUCAUUAUCCACUGCCACGUGUCACUAAUUAGGAACUAGAACCUUAAUUAGCUUCAUGAUUACUGUAUACAGUUAUGUAGUUAGCCUCUUUUGCCAGGUUUAUAUGCUGUUAAUAUAGUCUUGUAUUUAUAUGUUGUGAUGAGAUGGCCAGACGUGUAUGUUAAUAUUUCAAUUUUCAUGUAAGGGGUUGUCGUGUUGUUCCGAGUCAAUAUCAUUUAGUGCAUAUAACUGUUCAUAGUCGAAUAGGGGCGCAUCUGGCUGCUAUGCUUGGCAUGCUAUCAUUAAGCUCAGUUGUGAGUGUAUAUCUAAAUGCAUGUAUGAAAAACAUUGUGUUGGUUUUUCUAUUUAUUGAGAGUUGAUGUGAUGUUUAUGUUAAUGUAUUUCUUUUCAGCUAGACAAUACAGUUAUACUUGAUUUAAAAAUAUUCUUCUGAGAUUUUAGAGCUGUGGGUUGAAAUGCUGUCUUUACCCUUUUUCUGUGUUUGAUUCAGUGGGAUUCCUCCUGUGCCUUUUAUCUUUGAACUUAUUUCCUUUUUUGUUUAAGUAUCUCAUAUUUUUAAGUUCCUUGCAGCUAAUUAUGGUGCAAAAAAGACCUUACGGUGAAGAGGAUUUGUAUGAGGUUUCAUCUAAGCAACCAAGGCAUGAACCCAGUUGUCAGCUAGUUUCAGUUUUGGAACUUUCUCGUGAAUCAGUAGUUGUGGAUGCUUAUGCUUCAGGUAACAACAAAUUAUUUUGUUAGCUCUGAGAUAUUCUUCGCACUGUUUUUACUGCUUUAUGUACCAUUGUUAAAAAUGCUUCAAGUCAUUGGUGGAGUGCAGUGCGCUGUAAGACCUGCCAAGUAUUUUUAACUUUGGAGUGGUUUCCUUGACACCUUACUUUAUGGGCUUGCUCUUGUAAGAGUAGAUUUUGGAUCUUAAAUGAAUAUUAUUUUUGCUCCAUACUCUGAUCGACUGUCUGUUAUCUAUGGAUUUUGUAGGUGGUGAUGAGGACAACUCUUCGAAAAUCUUCCCUGAUGCAAACAAGAAAUUUGAUAGUCACGUUGUGGCUGAAGUUCUUUUUUCUUCUGAGAUGGGCAUUCAUGGAUCUGCUUCAAACUCUUCCUGGCCCACCAGUAGCACCAGUGAGGAAGACAUCAGGCCUGAGGCUCCUUUUCACAGAUUGACGUCUCCUGAAUAUUACUAUUUUGAUCAUCCGUUCAGGGCUGCUGCUCAUCACAGGGAGAUAUAUUCUUCUCUUUUGAGUAAUCCUCAAAAGAUGGUACCCAUUGGACCAGAUUUCCAGGCAGAGCUACCAGAAUGGACACCAUAUAGUAAUAAGGAUAAACCAUGC